AGAGUAGGGAUACAGGCGUUAAGUGACGUCCGGACGGGGAGUUGCCGGGUGUACGAAGCGAAAGCGCGGUCGGUAUCCCGCAUCCCGCU
This 89-nucleotide non-coding RNA is filed under the name bovine gut metagenome. RNAcentral's name for it is "THF riboswitch". It matches the Rfam family "THF (Tetrahydrofolate) riboswitch aptamer". From Rfam's summary of the family: THF riboswitch presents a pseudoknot that joins P1-P2 and the loop of P3 and two THF binding. The record is from RNAcentral.